RNAcentral lists this ribosomal RNA (310 nucleotides) under uncultured Bacteroidota bacterium. Its description in RNAcentral is "bacterial SSU rRNA". It matches the Rfam family "Bacterial small subunit ribosomal RNA", at positions 604 to 916 of the family's 1533-position model. The record is from RNAcentral. Lineage: Bacteria; Pseudomonadati; Bacteroidota.
GGGGCUCAACCUUAAAAUUGCAGUUGAUACUGGCGUCCUUGAGUGCGGUUGAGGUGUGCGGAAUUCGUGGUGUAGCGGUGAAAUGCUUAGAUAUCACGAAGAACUCCGAUUGCGAAGGCAGCACACUAAUCCGUAACUGACGUUCAUGCUCGAAAGUGUGGGUAUCAAACAGGAUUAGAUACCCUGGUAGUCCACACGGUAAACGAUGGAUACUCGCUGUUGGCGAUAUACUGUCAGCGGCUUAGCGAAAGCGUUAAGUAUCCCACCUGGGGAGUACGCCGGCAACGGUGCAACUCAAAUGAAUUGACGG